AUUGAACGCUGGCGGCAGGCCUAACACAUGCAAGUCGAACGAGUGGCGGACGGGUGAGUAAUGUCUGGGAAACUGCCUGAUGGAGGGGGAUAACUACUGGAAACGGUAGCUAAUACCGCCUACUAUCGGAUGUGCCCAUAUGGGAUUAGCUAGUAGGUGGGGUAAAGGCUCACCUAGGCGACGAUCCCUGACUGGUCUGAGAGGAUGACCAGCCACACUGGAACUGAGAAACGGUCCAGAACCCGAGGGAAGGCAGCUGUGGGGAAUAUUGCACAAUGGGCACAAGCCUGAUGCAGACAGGCCGCGUGGAGGAAGAAGGCCUUAGGGUUGUAAAGUACGUUCAGCGGGGAGGCGUUACCCGCAGAAGAAGCACCGGCUAACUCCGUGCCAGCAGCCGCGGUAAUAC
This 406-nucleotide ribosomal RNA is filed under the name uncultured bacterium. RNAcentral's name for it is "partial 16S ribosomal RNA". It matches the Rfam family "Bacterial small subunit ribosomal RNA", at positions 29 to 526 of the family's 1533-position model. The record is from RNAcentral.